Molecule: ribosomal RNA, 253 nt
Filed under: uncultured bacterium
Lineage: Bacteria
Description: partial 16S ribosomal RNA
Rfam family: Bacterial small subunit ribosomal RNA
Source: RNAcentral
UACGUAGGGUGCGAGCGUUAAUCGGAAUUACUGGGCGUAAAGCGUGCGCAGGCGGUUCGCCGUGUCCGAUGUGAAAGCCCCGGGCUUAACCUGGGAAUGGCAUUGGAAACUGGCGGGCUGGAGUAUGGCAGAGGGGGGUGGAAUUCCACGUGUAGCAGUGAAAUGCGUAGAGAUGUGGAGGAACACCGAUGGCGAAGGCAGCCCCCUGGGCCAAUACUGACGCUCAGGCACGAAAGCGUGGGGAGCGAACAGG